RNAcentral lists this ribosomal RNA (366 nucleotides) under Staphylococcus capitis. Its description in RNAcentral is "bacterial SSU rRNA". It matches the Rfam family "Bacterial small subunit ribosomal RNA", at positions 1175 to 1533 of the family's 1533-position model. The record is from RNAcentral. Lineage: Bacteria; Bacillati; Bacillota; Bacilli; Caryophanales; Staphylococcaceae.
GGGGAUGACGUCAAAUCAUCAUGCCCCUUAUGAUUUGGGCUACACACGUGCUACAAUGGACAAUACAAAGGGUAGCGAAACCGCGAGGUCAAGCAAAUCCCAUAAAGUUGUUCUCAGUUCGGAUUGUAGUCUGCAACUCGACUACAUGAAGCUGGAAUCGCUAGUAAUCGUAGAUCAGCAUGCUACGGUGAAUACGUUCCCGGGUCUUGUACACACCGCCCGUCACACCACGAGAGUUUGUAACACCCGAAGCCGGUGGAGUAACCUUUUGGAGCUAGCCGUCGAAGGUGGGACAAAUGAUUGGGGUGAAGUCGUAACAAGGUAGCCGUAUCGGAAGGUGCGGCUGGAUCACCUCCUUUCUAAGGA